This 253-nucleotide ribosomal RNA is filed under the name uncultured bacterium. RNAcentral's name for it is "partial 16S ribosomal RNA". It matches the Rfam family "Bacterial small subunit ribosomal RNA", at positions 524 to 776 of the family's 1533-position model. The record is from RNAcentral.
GACGUAGGGGGCCAGCGUUGCUCGGAAUUACUGGGCGUAAAGGGUUCGUAGGCGGUGUGGCAAGUCGGAAGUGAAAUCUCCAGGCUUAACUUGGAGGCUGCUCCCGAAACUGCCAUGCUAGAGUGCGGGAGAGGCGAGUGGAAUUGCAGGUGUAGCGGUGAAAUGCGUAGAUAUCUGCAGGAACACCCGUGGCGAAGGCGGCUUACUGGUCCGGUUCUGACGCUGAGGCGCGAAAGCGUGGGGAGCAAACAGG